RNAcentral lists this transfer RNA (73 nucleotides) under Aedes aegypti (yellow fever mosquito). It matches the Rfam family "tRNA". Rfam says of the family: Transfer RNA (tRNA) molecules are approximately 80 nucleotides in length. Their secondary structure includes four short double-helical elements and three loops (D, anti-codon, and T loops). Lineage: Eukaryota; Metazoa; Arthropoda; Insecta; Diptera; Culicidae. The record is from Rfam by way of RNAcentral.
CCUCUCGUGGUGUAGGGCUAACGCGCCUUGUCUAACGAACAGGGAGUCGUGAGUUCGAUUCUCACCGAAAAGC